This 407-nucleotide ribosomal RNA is filed under the name uncultured Bdellovibrio sp. Its description in RNAcentral is "bacterial SSU rRNA". It matches the Rfam family "Bacterial small subunit ribosomal RNA", at positions 355 to 776 of the family's 1533-position model. Lineage: Bacteria; Pseudomonadati; Bdellovibrionota; Bdellovibrionia; Bdellovibrionales; Pseudobdellovibrionaceae. The record is from RNAcentral.
UAGGGAAUAUUGCACAAUGGAGGAAACUCUGAUGCAGCGACGCCGCGUGAGUGAUGAAGGACUUCGGUUCGUAAAGCUCUGUUGUAAGGGAAAAAGCAAGUGAUUGUACCUUGCGAGAAAGGGUCGGCUAACUUCGUGCCAGCAGCCGCGGUAAGACGAGGGACCCUAGCGUUGUUCGGAAUCAUUGGGCGUAAAGCGGGUGUAGGUGGCUUUGUAAGUCAGGUGUGAAAGCCCAGGGCUCAACCCUGGAAGUGCACUUGAUACUGCGAAGCUUGAGUGCUGGAGAGGUUACUAGAAUUCCUGGUGUAGUGGUGAAAUACGUAGAUAUCAGGAGGAAUACCGGUGGCGAAGGCGGGUAACUGGCCAGACACUGACACUCAGACCCGAAAGCGUGGGGAUCAAACAGG